GUGCCAGCGCAGCGGUAAUACGAAGGGGCUAGCGUUGUUCGGAAUUACUGGGCGUAAAGCGCACGUAGGCGGACAUUUAAGUCAGGGGUGAAAUCCCAGAGCUCAACUCUGGAACUGCCUUUGAUACUGGGUGUCUUGAGUAUGGAAGAGGUAAGUGGAAUUGCGAGUGUAGAGGUGAAAUUCGUAGAUAUUCGCAGGAACACCAGUGGCGAAGGCGGCUUACUGGUCCAUUACUGACGCUGAGGUGCGAAAGCGUGGGAGCAAACAGGAUUAGAUACCCUGGUAGUCCACGCCGUAAACGAUGAUAGCUAGCCGUCGGGUGCAUGCAAUUCGGUGGCGCAGUUAACGCAUUAAGCUAUCCGCCUGGGAGUACGGUCGCAAGAUU
This 385-nucleotide ribosomal RNA is filed under the name uncultured Martelella sp. RNAcentral's name for it is "bacterial SSU rRNA". It matches the Rfam family "Bacterial small subunit ribosomal RNA", at positions 505 to 895 of the family's 1533-position model. Lineage: Bacteria; Pseudomonadati; Pseudomonadota; Alphaproteobacteria; Hyphomicrobiales; Aurantimonadaceae. The record is from RNAcentral.